Molecule: RNase P RNA, 397 nt
Filed under: Chelatococcus composti
Lineage: Bacteria; Pseudomonadati; Pseudomonadota; Alphaproteobacteria; Hyphomicrobiales; Chelatococcaceae
Also listed under: 1 other name
Description: Bacterial RNase P class A
Rfam family: Bacterial RNase P class A
About the family: Ribonuclease P (RNase P) is a ubiquitous endoribonuclease, found in archaea, bacteria and eukarya as well as chloroplasts and mitochondria. Its best characterised activity is the generation of mature 5'-ends of tRNAs by cleaving the 5'-leader elements of precursor-tRNAs.
Source: Rfam by way of RNAcentral
CCAGUCGGCCGGGCGGCCGCUGCACCGGCCGCGCCGGUGCAGAGGAAAGUCCGGGCUCCUAGGAAACACGGUGCCGGAUAACGUCCGGCGGGGGUGACCCCAGGGACAGUGCCACAGAAAGCAAACCGCCUUUCGAAGCCUUUGGCGCAGAAGGGCAAGGGUGAAAGGGUGCGGUAAGAGCGCACCGCGUCGGCGGCAACGUCGACGGCACGGCAAACCCCACCGGGAGCAAGACCGAAUAGGGACGACGGGGCGCGCAAGCGCCCGGGCCUGUUUCCAGCCUUGUCGUCCGGGUUGGUUGCUCGAGGCGGUCGGUAACGACCGUCCCAGAUGAAUGGCCGUCACGUCCGGGGCGACCCGGGCCAUACAGAACCCGGCUUACAGGCCGGCUGGCACC